CCACCCGGAUCCAGAAUGAAGGCCCAACGGGCCGGGCCGGGCCGUGCCCAGAUAUUUAAGUGUCCCCCCCCCCCACGGCUUUUGCUUUUUUCGGGGGCUUUGCCAAGGGCAGCACGGGUGCCCCUUCUUUCAAGCUGUGGCCGGGCUUCGUAUUGCGCCCCACCUGGCCUGUCGUGGGCUCACCCGCAUUCCGCAGCGCCCCCUGCACGAGGCCUGGGGCGUGUGUGUUGGCUAUUAUGGUUCGCACUGCCUCCCCUUGCUCAAUUCGCCCGCUUGUUCCAUUGCCUCUUCCUUGUCUGCUCGCCUCGAGCGCCUCCUCUCGCCUGCCAAUCGUUCGCCUCCACUCCACCGAUUGCCCCCCUCGCCUCUCUCUUUGACAUCUUCGGCUUGGCUUCAAGGGAGGAGGGAAGGGUCGGUCACAGGGGCGUUAUAAUUAUGACUGGAACAGGGAAGUUCUUUGUCGGCGGGAACUGGAAGUGCAAUGGCACCACUGAGUCGAUCAAGAAGCUCGUGGGUGAGUUGAAUGACGGGAAAUUUGAGGAAAGUGUGGAAGUUGUGGUGGCCCCUCCUUUCCUGUACAUUGGUCAGGUUAUCGGGUCCUUGACAGACCGCAUUGCGGUCUCGGCUCAGAACUCUUGGGUCGGUAAGGGAGGAGCUUUCACUGGUGAAAUCAGUGCUGACCAGUUGGUCGACGCUGGCGUGAAGUGGGUUAUCCAAGGUCACUCUGAGCGUAGGCACGUCAUCGGCGAAUCCAAUGAGACCAUUGGAAAGAAAAGCGCCUACGCAUUGUCGAAGGGUCUGGGCGUAAUUGCGUGCGUCGGGGAGAAGCUCGAGGAGCGCGAAUCCAACCGCACCACCGACGUUGUCUUCGAGCAGCUGCAAGCAUACGCGGAUGCGAUUUCCGACUGGUCCAAUGUUGUCAUUGCUUACGAACCAGUGUGGGCUAUUGGUACCGGCAAGGUUGCCUCUCCAGAGCAGGCGCAGGAGGUGCAUGCUGCCAUUCGCUCGUGGUUGGGUGAUAAGAUUUCACCUGACCUUGCCUCAGCCACUCGCAUCAUUUAUGGUGGUUCCGUGAACGGAGCUAACUGUGCCGAGCUAGCCAAGAAGGAGGACAUCGACGGUUUCCUAGUCGGAGGAGCUUCGUUGAAGGGUCCUGAGUUCGUCACAAUCUGUAAUGCAGUCAUAUCGAAGAAGGCUUCAGCAUAAUCUCACUCAGAGACUGUUGCUUCAGCCUAAUGUCUCAAAUUAAAUACUCGUAUUUGCACUGUUCAAUGCCGUCAAAAGGAUCUGCUUAUGUGCCAUUCAGAUCAGUGGGUGAAGAUUCUGGAUUAUCUAAAUAUGAGAGUAACGACAACGUUGCAGCCACCUACAUGUAAGCCCUUGCUGACUGUUUUCCAAUUGGCACGCAAUUUGUCAUUUCCUCCUGCAAUUAACCGUAGUUUAAGAGUAAGUUUUCUCCCCACUGAAUUGUUCCAAAUCCCUGCACUGUGAAGUCACGAUAUAUUUAGAAUGGUGUUCUGUCGUAAAUCUUCGCAACUGAGGAUAAUGCGAAGUACUCUGCGACGUGAUCCAUUGAGCAAUGAUGAGUAACUUCAUUCUUGUACCAUCGACUUUUAUUCUGUAAGCGUAUUAAAACCGGUGAUAACGCUAUCAAGUCAUUUGAAGCCA
This is a non-coding RNA of Physcomitrium patens, 1668 nucleotides long. The record is from RefSeq and is a predicted model, not a curated record. NCBI's taxonomy places the organism in Eukaryota, Viridiplantae, Streptophyta, Bryopsida, Funariales, Funariaceae.